UACGAAGGGUGCAAGCGUUACUCGGAAUUACUGGGCGUAAAGCGUGCGUAGGUGGUUUGUUAAGUCUGUUGUGAAAGCCCCGGGCUCAACCUGGGAAUGGCAAUGGAUACUGGCAAGCUAGAGUGCGGUAGAGGGUAGUGGAAUUCCCGGUGUAGCGGUGAAAUGCGUAGAGAUCGGGAGGAACACCAGUGGCGAAGGCGGCUACCUGGACCAGCACUGACGCUGAGACGCGAAAGCGUGGGGAGCGAACAGG
RNAcentral lists this ribosomal RNA (253 nucleotides) under uncultured bacterium. Its description in RNAcentral is "partial 16S ribosomal RNA". It matches the Rfam family "Bacterial small subunit ribosomal RNA", at positions 524 to 776 of the family's 1533-position model. The record is from RNAcentral.